Long non-coding RNA from Orcinus orca (killer whale), 634 nucleotides. RefSeq lists it as uncharacterized. The transcript is spliced from 2 exons. NCBI's taxonomy places the organism in Eukaryota, Metazoa, Chordata, Mammalia, Artiodactyla, Delphinidae. The record is from RefSeq and is a predicted model, not a curated record.
UCUGCGGGCAACUGGCUAAGACCGAAGCCUCCAGAAGGAGCCUGGGACCCUAAGGCCGCCCCCGCGUCGCAAGCCCCCCAGCGCCGGGCAGGAGCCGCGGCGGGAACGGCAGUCCGGGAAGUGGCCGAGCAGAGCGCCCCAGGAUAAGGGGAGGAGCACGCCUUUCCUCGGGGCAAGAAAGGCGGAGAAAAAAAGGAAGGCGAGAGACGCGAGGGGUCCCAGGCUCAGGACGAGACGCCUCUAACUCCUUUCCUGGGAAGCCUGCUCUGUGUCCGAUGACAGUUUCCUGGACUCCGCAUCACACCUGUGUGGGGUUUCCUCGAGCUGCUGGGUGACCAGCUCCACUCCAUGGCCCUCUUGGCUCCAACAUCCGCAGACUUUUCUCUUCCUUCUGCCAUCUGAUGGAGGAGCAUGCUGAAAAGAACAUGGAGGGCAGUAGCAUGGGGGCAAGGGCCUGGGCGUGGAGCUGGGGUAAGGCUUGGGCAGAUAGUGGAGGCCGAGGGGGGAGGCCGAGGCAGCCAGAGCAGCCUCCAGUAGCCUGGUCCAACUCCCAGCAGGCUCCGUUCUGCUCCCUUGGCCUGGCUUAGAUCUCUUUUCUUAAUCCAAUAAAGGGGCACUUGCCUAAAUUUGAAAA